GCCGAGGUAGCCCAAUGCAGAGGCAGACGCUCUGGGAGCGUCCCAAGGUGCGGGUCCGAAUCCCGCCCUCGGCA
Molecule: transfer RNA, 74 nt
Filed under: Gammaproteobacteria bacterium
Lineage: Bacteria; Pseudomonadati; Pseudomonadota; Gammaproteobacteria
Also listed under: 1 other name
Description: tRNA-Pro
Rfam family: tRNA
About the family: Transfer RNA (tRNA) molecules are approximately 80 nucleotides in length. Their secondary structure includes four short double-helical elements and three loops (D, anti-codon, and T loops). Further hydrogen bonds mediate the characteristic L-shaped molecular structure. tRNAs have two regions of fundamental functional importance: the anti-codon, which is responsible for specific mRNA codon recognition, and the 3' end, to which the tRNAs corresponding amino acid is attached (by aminoacyl-tRNA synthetases). tRNAs cope with the degeneracy of the genetic code in two manners: having more than one tRNA (with a specific anti-codon) for a particular amino acid; and 'wobble' base-pairing, i.e. permitting non-standard base-pairing at the 3rd anti-codon position.
Source: RNAcentral